UCAGAUCUUCUAAACUGUUGACUG
This 24-nucleotide non-coding RNA is filed under the name Cricetulus griseus (Chinese hamster). The record is from RNAcentral. Lineage: Eukaryota; Metazoa; Chordata; Mammalia; Rodentia; Cricetidae.